This 350-nucleotide ribosomal RNA is filed under the name Klebsiella pneumoniae. Its description in RNAcentral is "partial 23S ribosomal RNA". It matches the Rfam family "Bacterial large subunit ribosomal RNA", at positions 911 to 1258 of the family's 2925-position model. The record is from RNAcentral. Lineage: Bacteria; Pseudomonadati; Pseudomonadota; Gammaproteobacteria; Enterobacterales; Enterobacteriaceae. RNAcentral also lists the same sequence under 2 other names.
UGUUUCGGCUAGGGGGUCAUCCCGACUUACCAACCCGAUGCAAACUACGAAUACCGAAGAAUGUUAUCACGGGAGACACACGGCGGGUGCUAACGUCCGUCGUGAAGAGGGAAACAACCCAGACCGCCAGCUAAGGUCCCAAAGUCAUGGUUAAGUGGGAAACGAUGUGGGAAGGCACAGACAGCCAGGAUGUUGGCUUAGAAGCAGCCAUCAUUUAAAGAAAGCGUAAUAGCUCACUGGUCGAGUCGGCCUGCGCGGAAGAUGUAACGGGGCUAAACCAUGCACCGAAGCUGCGGCAGCGACACUAUGUGUUGUUGGGUAGGGGAGCGUUCUGUAAGCCUGCGAAGGUG